AAGCUCGUAGUUGAAUUUCGGGACUAGUACGUUGGUCGUGACUUAGGUACGUACUGGUGUUACUGGUUCCUACCUUCUGACGAACCAUUAUGUCAUUAAUUUGGUGUGGUGAGGAAUCAGGACUGUUACUUUGAAAAAAUUAGAGUGUUUAAAGCAGGCUCGCGCUUGAAUACAUUAGCAUGGAAUAAUGAAAUAGGACGUUGAUCCUAUUUUGUUGGUUUCUAGGAUUGACGUAAUGAUUAAUAGGGAUAGUUGGG
RNAcentral lists this ribosomal RNA (257 nucleotides) under uncultured Glomus. RNAcentral's name for it is "partial 18S ribosomal RNA". It matches the Rfam family "Eukaryotic small subunit ribosomal RNA", at positions 624 to 886 of the family's 1831-position model. The record is from RNAcentral. Lineage: Eukaryota; Fungi; Glomeromycota; Glomeromycetes; Glomerales; Glomeraceae.